Molecule: long non-coding RNA, 322 nt
Filed under: Salmo salar (Atlantic salmon)
Lineage: Eukaryota; Metazoa; Chordata; Actinopteri; Salmoniformes; Salmonidae
Description: lncRNA (ENSSSAG00000114255.1)
Source: RNAcentral
GAGCAGGGGUGGAAGAGGAGGAGCAAGAGGAGUGGGGUGUGAAGCAUCAGUGGACACACCAGACUCUCCUUUAUCAGUCAUACAAAGAGAAUGUUCUAAUACCUCCCAUCGAAAAGAGAGCUGGCCCAAGCAAGCACAGGUUAAACCUGAAGCAUGAGGACUUGCAGCGAGUGGUAAACUUCAACAACUACGCAGAGGAUAAUGCAAUAGUAUUACCAGGAUGCCACCCAGGACACAAACACUUUGGUGGAAAGCUGCUGCCAUCCCAUGUGACAAAAGCAGCAGUAUGGUGUCUCUACAAGGAAUCAAUGACAACACUUGG